RNAcentral lists this ribosomal RNA (229 nucleotides) under uncultured bacterium. RNAcentral describes it as "partial 16S ribosomal RNA". It matches the Rfam family "Bacterial small subunit ribosomal RNA", at positions 568 to 796 of the family's 1533-position model. The record is from RNAcentral.
CGCGCAGGCGGUUUUCUAAGUCCUUUGUGAAACUCCGGGGCUCAACCCCGGACAUGCAGCGGAAACUGGAAGACUAGAGACCGGUAGAGGCUGGCGGAAUUCCUGGUGUAGCGGCGGAAUGCGUAGAUAUCAGGAAGAACACCGGUGGCGAAGGCGGCCAGCUGGGCCGGGUCUGACGCUCAUGUGCGAAAGCGUGGGGAGCAAACAGGAUUAGAUACCCUGGUAGUCC